UUUGAGAGGGUGCUCUUCUGGAAAAGUUUCUAGUUCUGUGGGCUCGGACUCCCUCUCCACCUCUGCACCUUCUCCUCAGUGAACCCACUUUGACUGCUAUUUCUAGUGCCACACAUAGUGAGAGGUCUGACCACCUGUUCCUGAUAAGACAGCUAAUAGAGACGGGUCUUUUAGGAUAGGAGGAAGUGGGCACCAACUGGCCAAAGUUGCCUGCAGUAUCUUGGCCAGAGGAGUCUGUAGAGAAGUUUCAGCAGCUCUCUCUGGCCACCCAGUUCCCAUUGCCUUCACUGCCAAACCACAGGAACAUACUGCAGGUCUCUCAAUGACCACUGAGGGGACGCACGAGUCUACAUUACCAACUGUACACAUGAAUCCCAGCCAAACACUAUUGUAUUAACAGCAACAAGUGAUGCAUAUUUGAACAAAAGAAUGAAUGUUUACUCCUACAAUAUAUAUGAUUUUAAAAAUAUUUUAAAGUCUUAUUUAUUGUUAGUUGCAAGGAGAAUAUUUGCUGCUUAAGAAUGCUAAAUUGAUAAGAUUGUUACUGACAGUUUAUAAACCUUUAAAUCACAUUUUGUGGGGACAUUUUAGCAGGGCUUUGCCAGUGUUCACUUAUACUGCCUCACAGUAGAACGGGAUAAAGAGCGUUCACUGUGCUAUUUAUUUGUUUUAAGUGUGUGUAAAUGUUUUUCUGUUUGUUUGUUGGUGAGUAUGUCU
Molecule: long non-coding RNA, 717 nt
Organism: Cyprinus carpio carpio
Lineage: Eukaryota; Metazoa; Chordata; Actinopteri; Cypriniformes; Cyprinidae
Source: Ensembl